RNAcentral lists this long non-coding RNA (1935 nucleotides) under Hordeum vulgare. Its description in RNAcentral is "long non-coding RNA (HVUL_LNC017648)". Lineage: Eukaryota; Viridiplantae; Streptophyta; Magnoliopsida; Poales; Poaceae. The record is from RNAcentral.
AAGACUUAUAUUUAGGAACGGAGGGAGUACAUUGUUAUUAUGGAAUAAAAAGCUGGGCUGUUAGAGCUUGUUCUCUAGAAAUAUAAGCUGGAAAAGGAAAGUGUUCUUCUGCUCUCGAGUUCAAAUGAGUUUGGAUGAACAGUAAAAUGCACUGGCAAUCGCAGGCCAAGCAGCUCGACGAAUUGCUAUGCUACGCAGACAUCUUUGGGACAACUAAAUUUACCACAAGAACGUUCGAUUUGCUACAUCAGAUUUUUAACUUUACGGUAAAAUAAAAAUACCAAGGCAGCAAAAAAAAAAAAACACUAUAUACCGAGGGAUUAGGUGCGGCCUUUCACGCCCGUGCUUGUGUCUGUGUGUAACCUCCUUGAACAUGCUCACGUCAACAGGUGUUCUGGGCGUGGCAUUUUCUGUACAGGUUCAAACCUUAACGAAAGAAGAAAGAAAAAGAAGCAACCAGUAAUAGCUGAAUCUGCAGCCGCGGACAAAGCACAAGCAAAAUGAUAUGGUGAUCAGAUCAUCAGAAGAGCUAAUAUGUUGGUCCAUUUGGACAUGUCCAAAGUACGUGCUGCUCCACUUCCAACGAUUCGUUGGGAUCGAUAUCUAUGUAUCAUCAUCUUGUUUUCGGACUGCGGCUGCAUUUGUUCGUGUCCUUCCCGGAAAUCGCAGCCGUGGUUGCGGCUACCACGGCUGCAGCAACCGCGCCGACCUUGAGGCCUCCCGUGAGCUUCAUGGCCCCGGCCAUCUUUGCGAAGGCCGCCGCCCCCGCCAUCUUCGACCUGAAAGCCAUGGUGCGUUCCUGGGGCGGCUGUUUCAGAAAAUGAGCAGCGAAUUCAGCAGCGACCUCCUGUUGUUAUAUGUGCAUGUUGUUUCUUCGAGUGCCUGUUUAGAGCAUUCAUGUAGCUAGAGUUAGCAGAGAAGAGGCUUAAGAUGUUUAUCAUGUGCCGUGGCCAUUUGUACUCACAACAUGAGAUAGCUGAAGAUAUAGACAAUUGACCAAGGAACGGCAGACUGAAAUCAUUUCUAGACUAGAAAAGUUUUGUUUCAGGCACUUAUAGAGUUGUAGAGUGUUCGAAACUUCGAAUACAGUGUAUAUAUCACCCUUCUUCACCAGCUUAAGACAUGUGCACAGGAAACAAAAUUUCCGACUACCAACUCUGCUGCGGACAAGCUCGCGGGAUGAACCUUUCUUUCAAGUGCUAGACUAGAUACAACAAAACAACCAAAUAUCUUAAGACUUGGCCGGGUACACAGGAAACAAAAUUCCUCCCUUUCCAAAAAAAAAAAAGGAAACAAAAUUCCUGACUACGAACUCUGCUAUGGACUGAGCUCUCAGGAUGAACAUUUCUUUCAAGUGCUAGAUCUAGAGCAGGAUCCAGCAAAACAACCAAGUGCUGUCUACCUAGCUGCUAGCUGCUAUGGAGGAAGAGAGUCUUAGGUAAGAAUGAUCCAUACCUCGACCAGGAAAUCAGGAAGAAAAACCAGCCGUGGAGCUGCCGGCCGGCUCAAGAGAGACAGACACCUUCACCUUGGACCUCGAUCGCGAGGAAGGUGGGGGAGGAAUGUUUUUGAGUCAACACGGAAAGGGGCGGUGAGAGAGUAUGAGCUAGUAACGGGGAGGCUUCUCAAGUCUUUUGGGGUGGGUGGGGGGCGAGCUAGGGAGAAGCUGUUGAGUGAACGAUCCCUUUGAGUUCUUCAUGCUCAAACGGACCGCACCGCAGGUGCAUGCACCUCCCUCUAUUCGUUCUCCCACCUGCUCCUCUACGCCAAGGGGAAGGGCCGGACACAUUCCAUGUCCAUGGAGAAAGCAGGCAUGUGCCCCAAUCAACGAGCUCCGUCGCACAGCUGCUCCAGCCACAUGCAUCUGCGGAAAAAACAGUUCUCGGUAAAACUAUGAAGCAUGGCUAUAAAUUUUCUGUCGAGACACAAAGUGAG